Molecule: ribosomal RNA, 899 nt
Filed under: Lophotrichus martinii
Lineage: Eukaryota; Fungi; Ascomycota; Sordariomycetes; Microascales; Microascaceae
Description: LSU rRNA
Rfam family: Eukaryotic large subunit ribosomal RNA
Source: RNAcentral
AGCAUAUCAAUAAGCGGAGGAAAAGAAACCAACAGGGAUUGCCCUAGUAACGGCGAGUGAAGCGGCAACAGCUCAAAUUUGAAAUCUGGUCCCUCGGGGCCCGAGUUGUAAUUUGCAGAGGAUGCUUUUGGCGCGGUGCCUUCCGAGUGCCCUGGAACGGGACGCCACAGAGGGUGAGAGCCCCGUAUGGUCGGACACCAAGCCUAUGUAAAGCUCCUUCGACGAGUCGAGUAGUUUGGGAAUGCUGCUCAAAAUGGGAGGUAAACCCCUUCUAAAGCUAAAUACUGGCCAGAGACCGAUAGCGCACAAGUAGAGUGAUCGAAAGAUGAAAAGCACUUUGAAAAGAGAGUUAAAAAGCACGUGAAAUUGUUGAAAGGGAAGCGUUUGCGACCAGACUUGCGCCCGUCGGAUCAGCCGUCCCUCGUGGGCGGUGCACUCCGGCGGGCUCAGGCCAGCAUCAGUUCGCUGCAGGGGGAGAAAGGCGGCGGGAAUGUGGCUCUUCGGAGUGUUAUAGCCCGCCGCGUAAUACCCCUCGGCGGACUGAGGACCGCGCGUAAGCAAGGAUGCUGGCGUAAUGGUCGUCAGCGACCCGUCUUGAAACACGGACCAAGGAGUCGUCCUAAUAUGCGAGUGUUUGGGUGUCAAACCCCAGCGCGUAAUGAAAGUGAACGCAGGUGAGAGCUUCGGCGCAUCAUCGACCGAUCCUGAUGUUCUCGGAUGGAUUUGAGUACGAGCAUAUUGGGCCGGACCCGAAAGAAGGUGAACUAUGCCUGUAUAGGGUGAAGCCAGAGGAAACUCUGGUGGAGGCUCGCAGCGGUUCUGACGUGCAAAUCGAUCGUCAAAUAUGGGCAUGGGGGGCGAAAGACUAAUCGAACCUUCUAGUAGCUGGUUUCCGCCGA